UCUUGGGUGACGAGUGGCGGACGGGUGAGUAAUGUCUGGGAAACUGCCCGAUGGAGGGGGAUAACUACUGGAAACGGUAGCUAAUACCGCAUAACGUCUUCGGACCAAAGUGGGGGACCUUCGGGCCUCACACCAUCGGAUGUGCCCAGAUGGGAUUAGCUAGUAGGUGGGGUAAUGGCUCACCUAGGCGACGAUCCCUAGCUGGUCUGAGAGGAUGACCAGCCACACUGGAACUGAGACACGGUCCAGACUCCUACGGGAGGCAGCAGUGGGGAAUAUUGCACAAUGGGCGCAAGCCUGAUGCAGCCAUGCCGCGUGUAUGAAGAAGGCCUUCGGGUUGUAAAGUACUUUCAGUGGGGAGGAAGGCGAUGAAGUUAAUAGCUUCGUCGAUUGACGUUACCCGCA
Molecule: ribosomal RNA, 405 nt
Filed under: uncultured Erwinia sp.
Lineage: Bacteria; Pseudomonadati; Pseudomonadota; Gammaproteobacteria; Enterobacterales; Erwiniaceae
Description: bacterial SSU rRNA
Rfam family: Bacterial small subunit ribosomal RNA
Source: RNAcentral